CUCCUUGUCCCGUUCCGGUUUCUGUUUCGCGAGUGUGCGGCCCUCGUGUGGAGGAUGGCCGGGAAGUGGCUCAGAAACUGCGACUUGCAGCUGGGAUCAUUGUCCAGCCAUUUUCCAAGGCGGCUAAGGCAAUUAGUGUGUAAUUUUAAACUGUUUUGCGGCUGGAACUGAGGCUUGAAGCUAAGGCCUUCUGACCGAGUAGUGCUUGCGGUUAGAAUCUUAUGUUGGAAAUGGAGCCAUCCAGAAGAAGACCAGGAAGUGUACAGAGUUCAGCC
RNAcentral lists this long non-coding RNA (275 nucleotides) under Heterocephalus glaber (naked mole-rat). RNAcentral's name for it is "lncRNA (ENSHGLG00000043916.1)". Lineage: Eukaryota; Metazoa; Chordata; Mammalia; Rodentia; Bathyergidae. The record is from RNAcentral.